GACGAACGCUGGCGGCGUGCUUAACACAUGCAAGUCGAACGGAAAGGCCCCUUUGGGGGUACUCGAGUGGCGAACGGGUGAGUAACACGUGAGUAACCUGCCCUUGACUUCGGGAUAACUUCAGGAAACUGGGGCUAAUACCGGCUAGGAAUCCUUGCUGCAUGGUGGGGGUUGGAAAGCUUCGGCGGUUUUGGAUGGACUCGCGGCUUAUCAGCUUGUUGGUGGGGUAGUGGCUUACCAAGGCUUUGACGGGUAGCCGGCCUGAGAGGGCGACCGGCCACAUUGGGACUGAGAGACGGCCCAGACUCCUACGGGAGGCAGCAGUGGAGAAUAUUGCACAAUGGGCGGAAGCCUGAUGCAGCAACGCCGCGUGCGGGAUGACGGCCUUCGGGUUGUAAACCGCUUUCAGCAGGGGCGAAGCUUGUGGUGACGGUACCUGCAGAAGAAGCACCGGCUAACUACGUG
Molecule: ribosomal RNA, 465 nt
Filed under: uncultured bacterium
Lineage: Bacteria
Description: partial 16S ribosomal RNA
Rfam family: Bacterial small subunit ribosomal RNA
Source: RNAcentral